UGCCAGCAGCCGCGGUAAUACUGAAGGUGCAAGCGUUAAUCGGAAUCACUGGGCGUAAAGCGCUCGUAGGUGGCUUUGUAAGUCAGAAGUGAAAGGCUACGGCUCAACCGUAGUAAGCUUUUGAAACUGCAAAACUAGAGUUCAGGAGGGUAAGUGGAAUUCCUAGUGUAGAGGUGAAAUUCGUAGAUAUUAGAAGGAACACCGGUGGCGAAGGCGACUUCCUGGACUAUUACUGACACUGAGGAGCGAAAGCGUGGGGAGCAAACAGGAUUAGAUA
This 277-nucleotide ribosomal RNA is filed under the name uncultured bacterium. RNAcentral's name for it is "partial 16S ribosomal RNA". It matches the Rfam family "Bacterial small subunit ribosomal RNA", at positions 506 to 784 of the family's 1533-position model. The record is from RNAcentral.